Molecule: ribosomal RNA, 375 nt
Filed under: Triticum aestivum (bread wheat)
Lineage: Eukaryota; Viridiplantae; Streptophyta; Magnoliopsida; Poales; Poaceae
Description: partial small subunit ribosomal RNA
Source: RNAcentral
CUCCGAGAAUAAUAUCCAGCCUUGUACAACAUUGCUCGCGAUAAGAAUAAUACUAUUGCACAGAUGCUCAGUUCACCCCCCCCCCCGAAUAUUUCAUUCAGGCGGGAUUUGAUUGGCCCCCGACUAAUGUCAUGGCAUAAUUUUUUGUCCCGUCUAGAUGCAAUUAGCCUGACACAAGGUCAGGAUGUGUUUCGCUGGAACCUUAAUACAUUAGGGUCAUUCACUGUAGACUCUAUGUAUCGUGCACUCAUGCAUUCUAAGGUACCGGUGAGUAAUAAUAAGAAAAUUUGGAGGUCGAAGAUACGACUAAAAGUUAAAAUCUUCAUGUGGUAUCUUCGUAGGGGAGUUGUGCUAACCAAAGACAACCUCGCAUGA